AUACGGAGGGUGCGAGCGUUAAGCGGAAUUACUGGGCGUAAAGCGUGCGUAGGCGGUUUGCUAAGUCAGAUGUGAAAGCCCCGGGCUUAACCUGGGAACUGCAUUUGAUACUGGCAGACUAGAGUAUGAUAGAGGGGGGUAGAAUUCCUGGUGUAGCGGUGAAAUGCGUAGAUAUCAGGAGGAAUACCAGUGGCGAAGGCGGCCCCCUGGAUCAAUACUGACGCUGAGGUACGAAAGCGUGGGGAGCGAACAGGAUUAGAAACCCCAGUAGUCC
This 274-nucleotide ribosomal RNA is filed under the name uncultured bacterium. RNAcentral's name for it is "partial 16S ribosomal RNA". It matches the Rfam family "Bacterial small subunit ribosomal RNA", at positions 523 to 796 of the family's 1533-position model. The record is from RNAcentral.